Molecule: small nucleolar RNA, 77 nt
Filed under: Amborella trichopoda
Lineage: Eukaryota; Viridiplantae; Streptophyta; Magnoliopsida; Amborellales; Amborellaceae
Description: Small nucleolar RNA R160
Rfam family: Small nucleolar RNA R160
About the family: snoR160 is a C/D box small nucleolar RNA, which acts as a methylation guide for 25S ribosomal RNA in plants. snoR160 has been alternatively named snoZ270 in rice.
Source: Rfam by way of RNAcentral
AGGAAAAUGAUGAGUCAAAAGUUCUGAAUUUAUGAUGCAAAUUUCAUAUAUAGGUACUUCAAAGUUCUCUGAUUGCU